This 353-nucleotide unclassified non-coding RNA is filed under the name Hevea brasiliensis (rubber tree). Lineage: Eukaryota; Viridiplantae; Streptophyta; Magnoliopsida; Malpighiales; Euphorbiaceae. The record is from RNAcentral.
GAAAAUCCCAAUUUCUCCGAUGCCUCAUUCUUCAGCUUAAACCCGUAAUGGGUUAUUAUUAAGGGCUCAGAUUUGUUGUAUUUCUUAACAAAACAAAAGAGAAAAGUGACGCCGCCAUGGCUGCAGACACCAGUUUGCUAUUCAAAGCCUUAACUGGGUCGCCCUGCCAAUACGGGUCGUAUUUCCCUCAAUUCCGUGAUUGAACAUAGCCAAGAAGGGGAAGCAAGCAAUCAUCACAGCCCCUUAACAACAUCAUCAUCAGAAGCAACACAGAGAGAGGGGAAGAUCAAGACAACUAUAGUUCAUCCAAUUUUUAUUUUAUUUUUUUUGUUUAUUUGAAAGGGCUGUUGAUG